Molecule: long non-coding RNA, 1533 nt
Filed under: Equus asinus (donkey)
Lineage: Eukaryota; Metazoa; Chordata; Mammalia; Perissodactyla; Equidae
Description: lncRNA (ENSEASG00005037956.1, ENSEASG00020025997.1)
Source: RNAcentral
UUGGUCUUGGUUUCUGGAACCCCCUGACGAGCACAAUGCUCAGCACUGCCCCAAAUUCAUGUUCUCACCACACAAGCACAGCAGACAGGCAGCACCUGGCCACCAACUGCCCCUGAUGUCUCUUGGGCCAGGGAAAGGGGUCUGUCUAGGUUGCGGGGUCAUGGGCAACUGCUGCCCAGAUCGCAGCUGUGGCUCAGCUGCAGCAUGUGGGGGUCUGAGGAUCCCUCCCCUGACUUGACCCCAUGUCAGUUCAGGCUGCUAUAACAGAAUACCAUAAACUGGGUGGCUAAUAAAGAAUAGAAAUUUAUUUCUAUUCUACAGUUUUUUCUACAGAAAUUUAUUUCUAUUCUGCAGUUCUGGAGGCUGAGAAGACCAAGAUCAAGGUGCCAGCAAAUUGGGUGUCUGUGCUGAAUAAUAUUCCACUGUCUGGAUGUACCACAGUUUGUUUAUUCAUUCACCUACUGGAAGACAUCAUGGAUGCUUCAAAGUUUUAGCAAUUCUGAAUAAAGCUGCUAUAAAUAUUUGUGUACACGUUUUUAUGUGGACAUAAGUUUUCAACUCCUUUGGGUACAUACCAAGGAGUGUGAUUGCUAGAUUGUACAGUAAGAGUAUGUUUCCUUUUUUAAGAAACCACCAACUGUCUUCCAAUGUUUCAAUGCUACACCAUUUUGCAUUCCCACCAGCAGUGAAUGAGAAUUCCUGUUGUCCCACACCUUCACCAACAUUCGGUUUCGUCAGUGUUGGGAUUUUGGCCAUUCUAAUAGGUGUGUAGUGGUACCUCAUUGUUUUAAUUUGCAUUUCCCUGAUAAGAUAUGAUGUGGAGCAUCUUUUCAUAUGCUUAUUUGCCACCUGUAUAUCUUCUUUGAUAAGGGAUCACUGAUAGGUAUCCUUAACUCAUUUUUCAAUUGAGUUGUUUGUUUUCUUACAAGUGAAUUUUAAGACUUCUUUGUAUAUUAUGGAUAACAGACUUUUAUCAGAUGUAUUUUUUGCAAAUAGUUUUGCCGAGUCUUGGCUUGUCUUCUCAUUCUCCUGACAUUGUCUUUUACAGAGCAGAAGCUUUUAAUUUUAAUGAAGUCCAGUUUAUCAAUUACUUCCUUCAUGGAUUGUGCCUUUGGUACUGUGUCUAAGAAGUCAUCACCAUGUCCAAUGUCAUCUAGGUUUUCCCCUAUGUUAUCUUCUAGGGGUUUUAUCGUUUUGAGUUUUAAAUUUAGGACAAUAACUCAAAAAAUUAAUUUUGAGUUAAUUUUUGUGAAGGGUGUAAGAUCUAUGUCUAGAUUCAUUUUCUUCCAUAUGGAUGUCAUCCAGUUGUUCCAGCGCAAAUUGUUGAAAAGACUAUCUUUGCUCCAUUGCAUUGCUAUUUGUCAAAGAUUGGUAGUCUAUAUUUAUGUGUGUGUAUUGUGGGCUCUCUAUUCUGUUACAGUGAUUAUUUGUCUGUUCUUUCACAAGUACUACACUGCCUUGAUUACUGUAGCUUUACCAUAAGUCUUGAAGUUGGGUAGUGUCAUUUCUCCAAAUCUGUUCUUCUCCCUCAAU